UGAGUGCGAGCUGCUACGGCAGCGAAGUUGGUGACGUCAAGCUUCCAAGAAAAGCCCUAUACCCGUUAGGGCAUCAUGGCCUGUACCCGAAACCGACACAGGUGGGGUGGUAGAGAAUACCGAGGGGCGCGAGGUAACUCUCUCUAAGGAACUCGGCAAAAUGGCCCCGUAACUUCGGGAGAAGGGGUGCCACCGCAAGGUGGUCGCAGUGAAGAGGCCCAGGCGACUGUUUACCAAAAACACAGGUCUCCGCUAAGUCGCAAGACGAUGUAUGGGGGCUGACGCCUGCCCAGUGCCGGAAGGUUAAGGAAGCUGGUCAGCGCAAGCGAAGCUGGCGACUGAAGCCCCGGUGAACGGCGGCCGUAACUAUAACGGUCCUAAGGUAGCGAAAUUCCUUGUCGGGUAAGUUCCGACCCGCACGAAAGGCGUAACGAUCUGGGCGCUGUCUCGGAGAGAGGCUCGGCGAAAUAGAAUUGUCUGUGAAGAUGCGGACUACGUGCACCCGGACAGAAAGACCCUAUGAAGCUUUACUGUAGCUUGGUAUUGUGCCCGGGCUCUGAAUGCGCAGGAUAGGUGGGAGGCUUUGAUCAUCGGCUUGCGGGUCGAUGUGAGCCAACGGUGAGAUACCACUCUUUCAGAGCUAGGGUUCUAACAGUCACCCGUUAUCCGGGGACUGGACAGUAUCAGGUGGGCAGUUUGACUGGGGCGGUCGCCUCCUAAAAGGUAACGGAGGCGCGCAAAGGUCUGCUCAGGCUGGUUGGAAAUCAGCCGACGAGUGUAAAAGCAGAAGCAGGCUUGACUGUGAGACCUACAAGUCGAACAGGGAGGAAACUCGGCUUUAGUGAUCCGACGGUUCUGCGUGGAAGGGCCGUCGCUCAACGGAUAAAAGUUACUCUAAGGAUAACAGGCUGAUCUCCCCCAAGAGUUCACAUCGACGGGGAGGUUUGGCACCUCGAUGUCGGCUCAUCGCAACCUGGGGCCGAAGUCGGUCCCAAGGGUUGGGCUGUUCGCCCAUUAAAGCGGUACGCGAGCUGGGUUCAGAACGUCGUGAGACAGUUCGGUCCAUAUCCGGUGCAUGCGCAGGAAUAUUGAGAGGAGUUCUCCCUAGUACGAGAGGACCGGGAGGAACGCACCUCUGGUGUACCAGUUAUCGUGCCAACGGUAAACGCUGGGUAGCCAUGUGCGGAGAGGAUAACCGCUGAAAGCAUCUAAGUGGGAAGCCCACCUCAAGAUGAGUAUUCCCAUGGCGUUAGCCAGUAAGGUCACGGGAGGAACACCCGUUGAUAGGCUCUAUGUGGAAGCGCAGUAAUGCGUGAAGCAGAGGAGUACUAAUAGACCGAGGGCUUGAC
RNAcentral lists this ribosomal RNA (1349 nucleotides) under metagenome. RNAcentral's name for it is "bacterial LSU rRNA". It matches the Rfam family "Bacterial large subunit ribosomal RNA", at positions 1564 to 2925 of the family's 2925-position model. The record is from RNAcentral.